RNAcentral lists this ribosomal RNA (654 nucleotides) under uncultured bacterium. RNAcentral describes it as "bacterial SSU rRNA". It matches the Rfam family "Bacterial small subunit ribosomal RNA", at positions 54 to 749 of the family's 1533-position model. The record is from RNAcentral.
CAUGCAAGUCGAGCGCCCGGGCAACCGGGAGCGGCAGACGGGUGAGUAACACGUGGGAACAUGCCCUUCGGUUCGGAAUAACUCAGGGAAACUUGAGCUAAUACCGGAUACGUCCGUAAGGAGAAAGAUUUAUCGCCGAAGGAUUGGCCCGCGUCUGAUUAGCUAGUUGGUGGGGUAAUGGCCCACCAAGGCUACGAUCAGUAGCUGGUCUGAGAGGAUGAUCAGCCACACUGGGACUGAGACACGGCCCAGACUCCUACGGGAGGCAGCAGUGGGGAAUAUUGGACAAUGGGCGAAAGCCUGAUGCAGCGACGCCACGUGAGGGAUGACGGCCUUCGGGUUGUAAACCUCUUUCAGCAGGGAAGAAGCGAAAGUGACGGUACCUGCAGAAGAAGCGCCGGCUAACUACGUGCCAGCAGCCGCGGUAAUACGUAGGGCGCAAGCGUUGUCCGGAAUUAUUGGGCGUAAAGAGCUCGUAGGCGGUCUGUCGCGUCCGGUGUGAAAUCCCAUGGCUCAACUGUGGGCUUGCAUCGGGUACGGGCAGACUAGAGUGCUGUAGGGGAGACUGGAAUUCCUGGUGUAGCGGUGGAAUGCGCAGAUAUCAGGAGGAACACCGAUGGCGAAAGCAGGUCUCUGGGCAGUUACUGACGCUGA